RNAcentral lists this ribosomal RNA (429 nucleotides) under bacterium. RNAcentral describes it as "partial 16S ribosomal RNA". It matches the Rfam family "Bacterial small subunit ribosomal RNA", at positions 355 to 776 of the family's 1533-position model. The record is from RNAcentral.
UAGGGAAUCUUCCACAAUGGACGCAAGUCUGAUGGAGCAACGCCGCGUGAGUGAAGAAGGUUUUCGGAUCGUAAAGCUCUGUUGUUGGUGAAGAAGGAUAGAGGCAGUAACUGGUCUUUAUUUGACGGUAAUCAACCAGAAAGUCACGGCUAACUACGUGCCAGCAGCCGCGGUAAUACGUAGGUGGCAAGCGUUGUCCGGAUUUAUUGGGCGUAAAGCGAGCGCAGGCGGAAUGAUAAGUCUGAUGUGAAAGCCCACGGCUCAACCGUGGAACUGCAUCGGAAACUGUCAUUCUUGAGUGCAGAAGAGAAGAGUGGAAUUCCAUGUUUAGCGGUGGAAUGCGUAGAUAUAUGGAAGAACGCCAGUGGCGAAGGCGGCUCUCUGGUCUGCAACUGACGCUGAGGCUCGAAAGCAUGGGUAGCGAACAGG